GAGAAUCUUGAUGAUGCUGCAUC
Molecule: non-coding RNA, 23 nt
Filed under: Arabidopsis thaliana (thale cress)
Lineage: Eukaryota; Viridiplantae; Streptophyta; Magnoliopsida; Brassicales; Brassicaceae
Source: RNAcentral